Molecule: ribosomal RNA, 499 nt
Filed under: uncultured bacterium
Lineage: Bacteria
Description: bacterial SSU rRNA
Rfam family: Bacterial small subunit ribosomal RNA
Source: RNAcentral
GGCUCAGGAUGAACGCUAGCUACAGGCUUAACACAUGCAAGUCGAGGGGAAACGAUAGAGAAGCUUGCUUUUUCUAGGCGUCGACCGGCGCACGGGUGAGUAACGCGUAUCCAACCUGCCCAUCACUUGGGGAUAACCCUUGCGAAAGUAAGACUAAUACCCAAUGACGUCUCUAGAAGACAUCUGAAAGAGAUUAAAGAUUUAUCGGUGAUGGAUGGGGAUGCGUCUGAUUAGCUUGUUGGCGGGGUAACGGCCCACCAAGGCGACGAUCAGUAGGGGUUCUGAGAGGAAGGUCCCCCACAUUGGAACUGAGACACGGUCCAAACUCCUACGGGAGGCAGCAGUGAGGAAUAUUGGUCAAUGGACGAGAGUCUGAACCAGCCAAGUAGCGUGCAGGAUGACGGCCCUAUGGGUUGUAAACUGCUUUUAUAAGGGAAUAAAGUGGGAGUCGUGACUCUUUUUGCAUGUACCUUAUGAAUAAGGACCGGCUAAUUCCGUG